CCCUUAGAUGUUCUGGGCUGCACGCGUGCUACACUGAUUACUUCAACAAGUGUUUUAACUGGAGAGUUCGCGUAAUCCUGAAAUGUUAUCGUGAUGGGAGUAGAGUAUUGUAUUUGUUAAUCUUUAACGAGGAAUUCCUAGUAAGUGUAGGUUUAUAAGUUGUUCUGAUUACGUCCCUGCCCUUUGUACACACCGCCCGUCGCUCCUACCGAUUGAUUGAUCCGGUGAAUUACAUAGAAUUUUGCGUUUUACAUGACGGAAGAUGAAGUGUUUUAAACCUUAUCAUUUAGAGGAAGGAGAAGUCGUAACG
RNAcentral lists this ribosomal RNA (310 nucleotides) under uncultured eukaryote. Its description in RNAcentral is "partial 18S ribosomal RNA". It matches the Rfam family "Eukaryotic small subunit ribosomal RNA", at positions 1470 to 1796 of the family's 1831-position model. The record is from RNAcentral.